GAAGCAUAACACUGAACGCGCCUGCGCAAUGGGUGUCGGGUCCGCUUUUUCCCAAUCCGGACGUAAUCGUGGUUUUUGUUCUGCAAUAGACGGCUUAGAGGGAGGGGCUUUUUCGCCUAUACCUACUGUAGCUUCUCCACGUAUGGACCCUAAAGGCUACUGCUGCUACUACGGGGCCAGACAGUUACUGUCUCAGCUCUAGGAUGUGCGUUCUUCCACUAGAAGCUCUUCUGAGGGAGGUAAUUAAAAAACAGUGGAAUGGAAAAACAGUGCUGUAGUCAUCCUGUAAUAUGCUCCUUGUCAACAAUGUAUACAUUCCUGCUAGGUGCCAUAUUCAUUGCUUUAAGCUCAAGUCGCAUCUUACUAGUGAAGUAUUCUGCCAAUGAAGAAAACAAGUAUGAUUAUCUUCCAACUACUGUGAAUGUGUGCUCAGAACUGGUGAAGCUAGUUUUCUGUGUGCUUGUGUCAUUCUGUGUUAUAAAGAAAGAUCAUCAAAGUAGAAAUUUGAAAUAUGCUUCCUGGAAGGAAUUCUCUAAUUUCAUGAAGUGGUCCAUUCCUGCCUUUCUUUAUUUCCUGGAUAACUUGAUUGUCUUCUAUGUCCUGUCCUAUCUUCAACCAGCCAUGGCUGUUAUCUUCUCAAAUUUUAGCAUUAUAACAACAGCUCUUCUAUUCAGGAUAGUGCUGAAGAGGCGUCUAAACUGGAUCCAGUGGGCUUCCCUCCUGAUUUUAUUUUUGUCUAUUGUGGCCUUGACUGCUGGGACUAAAACUUUACAGCACAACUUGGCAGGACAUGGAUUUCAUCACGAUGCCUUUUUCAGCCCUUCCAAUUCCUGCCUUCUUUUCAGAAGUGAGUGUCCCAGAAAAGACAAUUGUACAGCAAAGGAAUGGACUUUUCCUGAAGCUAAAUGGAACACCACAGCCAGAGUUUUCAGUCACAUCCGUCUUGGCAUGGGCCAUGUUCUUAUUAUAGUCCAGUGUUUUAUUUCUUCAAUGGCUAAUAUCUAUAAUGAAAAGAUAUUGAAGGAAGGGAACCAGCUCACUGAAAGCAUCUUCAUACAGAACAGCAAACUCUAUUUCUUUGGCAUUCUGUUUAAUGGGCUGACUCUGGGCCUUCAGAGGAGUAACCGUGAUCAGAUUAAGAACUGUGGAUUUUUUUAUGGCCACAGUGCAUUUUCAGUAGCCCUUAUUUUUGUAACUGCAUUCCAAGGCCUUUCAGUGGCUUUCAUUCUGAAGUUCCUGGAUAACAUGUUCCAUGUCUUGAUGGCCCAGGUUACCACUGUCAUUAUCACAACAGUGUCUGUCCUGGUCUUUGACUUCAGGCCCUCCCUGGAAUUUUUCUUGGAAGCCCCAUCAGUCCUUCUCUCUAUAUUUAUUUAUAAUGCCAGCAAGCCUCAAGUUCCGGAAUACGCACCUAGGCAAGAAAGGAUCCGAGAUCUAAGUGGCAAUCUUUGGGAGCGUUCCAGUGGGGAUGGAGAAGAACUAGAAAGACUUACCAAACCGAAGAGUGAUGAGUCAGAUGAAGAUACUUUCUAACUGAUCUUUACUUCUAACAAUAACAAAGGCAUUUCCAUCAGUUAUGUGAAAUACGAAGAUGAUAUCUAUUAUGGCGAUUUAUUUUAAAGAUGCGAAGUUCUGAUAUGUAUCCACUGGAGGUCUUAUGGGCACCACUGGUUUAAGAAGGUCAGAAGUCUAGAAACCAUAUCCUACAUGUCCCUGAAAUGAGGAUAGUAUAACCUGGAGAGGAGCAAUUGUCAUGUGAAAAAGGAAGUAGACAUUUUUCUGCUCUGGAGAAUCAAACUACAAUUAAGCCCCCUAAUUUGGUGAGAAAUCUGGUUAAGUGAAGUUCCUUGAAAGCAGCACACAACUUUUCUCUAAAGCUGUGAAAUUGGCAAAGGAUAUAGUACAAGAAGAAAAAGAGAAUACAGAUGACAUCGGGGGUCCAAGAGACAUUCCAUAUUUAAGCUUCAUAAUGUCCUUAUUUGCACACAUAUACCACGCUGCCUUCAUUUUCUCCAGCUGAUAGAUUUGUGUAAGAAAUCUUGACUUUGAGAAUUCAAUGUCAUUCCCAACAGGGUCUUUAUGUCUGUCUGGUCGUGUUAUCAGCCAGUCUUACUUAAUGUAUUAGGCCAGUUGGAAACCAUCAUUAAAGAAACUGACCCUGGUGAUCACCAGAGUAGUUUCAGACUAUAAACAACACAUCAUAAAUCCCACUGCCCUUAUCUUGGCCAAGAGACAAAACUGGACAUUCUGAUGACCCCAGAGAUUAUGACAGUGUUUUCUGGUCUAAUUAAACCAUAGUCUUCAUAUACCUUUACCACACCUCCUUCCUCCAAUUAGGAAGCUAAGUGGGUAAGAAAGAAAAAAUAAAGGCAGAGCAUAACGAUGUCACCCAUCUUUGGCCUCUUAGCCGGAGCUGAUCCUUGCAUGGGCAGUAGACUAUAAGUGUGUUAAUUAUUUUUCCUACUGCAGAGUUUCUUCACGUUGGAAUGGUGAAUAGGUACACAUUUCUCAAAGCUCAAAGUGCAAGUCUAGGGAUAUUCUCUAGUUUCAAUCUUGGUGAAAUUUUUUUCUAUGAAUUCAUUACUUUUUAGUUUAUUUCAGGGAGGGGGUGGUGUUUUUUAAUGAAUUAAUACAAGUGUCAGCAUCUUUCAUGGACAUCCAGACAAUUUCUUAAAGAUGGGAGAGGUAAAAAAUCUUCAGGAGAAACUGUGCCUGAACUGUGAGUAUCCAGAAGCCAUUGACCAUGUUAAUGGUGGAGCCAAUAUGAAGUACUUGCUAAAUCAUGUGGUGCGUGAAAGGAAGAGCAGUGUUAUAAUUGCAUCCUCCUAAAGACUACAUAACCAUCAUCACUCAUCAUCUCUCCCUGGUCCCUUCCACCUGCCAAACCCCCAUAAAAACCCAUAAUUGAUGAUACAUAUUAGUUUAUAAUUAACGGUGUACCUAACUGUUCUCUACUAGUCUGAGCCUCUGUACAGAGAAAUGUCAGUUUUGUAUUCCUGGUUCCUGGAAAAGUAUAUAUAGAAUAGUAUAAAUACAAUAAAUGUUUGAAUUAUUG
Gorilla gorilla gorilla (western lowland gorilla) is the source of this 3055-nucleotide RNA transcript. It is a transcript of the gene named solute carrier family 35 member A5, with no coding region annotated. NCBI's taxonomy places the organism in Eukaryota, Metazoa, Chordata, Mammalia, Primates, Hominidae. The transcript has 11 exons. The record is from RefSeq and is a predicted model, not a curated record.